Molecule: long non-coding RNA, 462 nt
Organism: Neopsephotus bourkii (Bourke's parrot)
Lineage: Eukaryota; Metazoa; Chordata; Aves; Psittaciformes; Psittacidae
Exons: 3
Source: RefSeq, a predicted model, not a curated record
GGUUACGAGUGUGCGAUGUUUCAACUGGCUGACAAACUCACUCUGGCUCCAGCUUAUAGCUGAGCGUGAGCAGCUCUAGUAUUCCUGAGGCCUGGGUGACACUAAAAUUCUCUCCUUGAUCUAGAUUCACGUCUUAGAACACACCUAAAGCCAGAGAGAAGAAUGGCUUGUUUUAGUGAUAAAUGGAGGGAAAGAUGCUGCAGUUUCAGUUCAAGCUGUCCUGUGUGCACUGUUUUUAAUAUAUACACGGUUCUCUUACUCACCUGAGCACGUCAGCUGUGACUAUCCAGUUAUCUGUAACUCCAAAUUAUAUAUUUUGUGCCAUUUUCACAAAUAGAACACUAGUUGCCCUGGCAAAUUGUGGUGGAAAGUAGGAAUUUUGAUAGAGAUUUUGGAUGCAACACAGAAUCCUAAUGUAUAAAAAUGGAAAUAUUUAAUGUGCAGCAAAACAGAGUACUUGUG